GAUCCUUGAUGCACAAAUGUGACAAUCUGUGGGUGAUCCUUGCUGUACAAAUGUGACAUUCUGAGGUAAUCCUUGAUGUACAAAUGUGACAACCUGAGGGUGAUGCUUGAUGUACAAAUGUGACAAUCUGAGGUGAUCCUUGAUGUACAAAUGUGACAAUGUACGGGUGAUCCUUGAUGUACACAUGU
Haliotis rubra (blacklip abalone) is the source of this 188-nucleotide long non-coding RNA. RefSeq lists it as uncharacterized. Lineage: Eukaryota; Metazoa; Mollusca; Gastropoda; Lepetellida; Haliotidae. The record is from RefSeq and is a predicted model, not a curated record. The transcript has 2 exons.